This 366-nucleotide ribosomal RNA is filed under the name uncultured eukaryote. Its description in RNAcentral is "partial 18S ribosomal RNA". It matches the Rfam family "Eukaryotic small subunit ribosomal RNA", at positions 592 to 976 of the family's 1831-position model. The record is from RNAcentral.
CAAUAGCGUAUAUUAACGUUGUUGCAGUUAAAAAGCUCGUAGUUGGAUUUCUGGAGGGAGCGUCGGCCCGUAUUUACGAGUGCGUGACGUCUCUGUCCAUCCUUGCGGGAAGGCACGGCAUUGAUUUGUUGUGUCGGAUCGCAUCAUUUACUGUGAAAAAAUUAGAGUGUUCAAAGCAGGCUUUCGCUUGAAUACAUUAGCAUGGAAUAAUAAGAUAGAACUUUGGUGCUAUUUUGUUGGUUGAGCCUAAAGUAAUGAUUAAUAGGGAUAGUUGGGGGCACCUGUAUUGCGUUGUCAGAGGUGAAAUUCUUGGAUUUACGCAAGACAAACAGCUGCGAAAGCGUCUGCCAAGGAUGUUUUCAUUAA